Molecule: long non-coding RNA, 151 nt
Organism: Magnolia sinica
Lineage: Eukaryota; Viridiplantae; Streptophyta; Magnoliopsida; Magnoliales; Magnoliaceae
Exons: 2
Source: RefSeq, a predicted model, not a curated record
UGUGGACCCGACUUCAGAUAUGGUACAUCACAAUCAGAUUAGUUUGACAUCAUGAUUUCUUAUUAAUGGACACUCUUGGCUUGGAAAGCAAGGUUGCGUGCUAGGGGCCAUCGAACAAUCCCCACUUCAAUUGAUGAGCUUUUCCGUGUUG